RNAcentral lists this long non-coding RNA (722 nucleotides) under Phoenix dactylifera (date palm). RNAcentral describes it as "long non-coding RNA (PDAC_LNC000654)". The record is from RNAcentral. Lineage: Eukaryota; Viridiplantae; Streptophyta; Magnoliopsida; Arecales; Arecaceae.
UUGCCAUGCACUUCGAACCACUUCUUGAACUUCACUGCAAAAGAGCCACAAUUUUCUUCAAAAUGAAAAGGCUUGCAACCACUGCAGAAAGAAGCCUCAGAGAUUCUGGUUUCAAGAAAACAGCACAAGUCAAGAUUAUUAGAUUUUUUGCAUGGUUGCAAAAAGGUGGGCUUAGCUGCCCCCCUGCAGUUCCAUGACAAAAUCCUCAUUUCUAUCUUUUAACAACCCUCCCCCUUCAGACUCUUUUUAACAUUCAUAGCACUGUCGCCCUACUCCCCCCUACCCCCUGACUGACUACCUCCCUCACAUUGCCUUCCUUCACCCCCUUUUGAAACACUCUCCAGCCUCAACUGCACUCCUCCUAUAGUUAGCUUCCUUCGGCCGCUCAAUGCUUUCAUAAUGAGACGAUGAAGUAGCCAAAUACCUCAUUUUAGAUUCCUUAUUACCUUCGCUGGCCACCUCAUCUACCUUCCUUCCCUGAUUCGAUGAGCAUUCCUUCUCCUUCCCUUUAUUGCACUUCAUUUCUUUAUGCUCUGCAGUGCCCCCACUUGGGUGCUCUGGGUUUAAUGGUUCCUCCUCGAUCACCAACACUUCGACCGAGCGUGGAGACUCAGAUCCUCCUUUUCUGCCAAUCACCACAUUCUUUGAAGGGGACCGCUUCCUUUUCUCCUUCUGCACCUACUUUGAACUUGAAGGUUCUGUUACCAUAUCUCCUCUGCUGC